This 468-nucleotide ribosomal RNA is filed under the name uncultured bacterium. RNAcentral describes it as "partial 16S ribosomal RNA". It matches the Rfam family "Bacterial small subunit ribosomal RNA", at positions 28 to 507 of the family's 1533-position model. The record is from RNAcentral.
GACGAACGCUGGCGGCGUGCUUAACACAUGCAAGUCGAACGGAAAGGCCCUGCGUUUGUGGGGUGCUCGAGUGGCGAACGGGGGAGUAACACGUGAGUAACCUGCCCUUGACUGUGGGAUAACUUCAGGAAACUGGGGCUAAUACCGGAUAGGAGCUCCUGCUGCAUGGUGGGGGUUGGAAAGAUUCGGCGGUUGGGGAUGGACUCGCGGCUUAUCAGCUUGUUGGGGGGGUAGUGGCUUACCAAGGCUUUGACGGGUAGCCGGCCUGGGAGGGUGACCGGCCACCUUGGGACUGCGGUACGCAGCAGACUCCUACGGGAGGCAGCAGUGGGGAGUAUUGCACAGUGGGCGGACGCCUGUUGCAGCGACGCCGCGUGCGGGAUGCCGGCCUUCGGGUUGUGAACCGCUUUCGCCUGUGACGAAGCGUGAGUGACGGUAACGGGUAAAGAAGCACCGGCUAACUACGUG